Molecule: long non-coding RNA, 2411 nt
Filed under: Salmo salar (Atlantic salmon)
Lineage: Eukaryota; Metazoa; Chordata; Actinopteri; Salmoniformes; Salmonidae
Description: lncRNA (ENSSSAG00000081988.1, ENSSSAG00000119154.1)
Source: RNAcentral
UCACAUGGACUUGCCCAGUUAAAUAAAUAAAGGUUCAAUAACAAUAAAUAAAACAGUAACCUGAAAACAACCUGAACAUGACGUCUGUGUCUGAAAUGGCACCCUCUACAGUGCACUAGCUUUGACCAGCUACCAUAGGGGUUUAUUCUGAACUAGUGCACUACAUAGGGAGUAGGGUGCCAUACUGGUCAGAACUACUGCACUACAUAGGGAUUAAGGCUCCAAUACUGGUCAAAACUAGUGAACUACAUAGGGAUUAAGGGUUCAAUACUGGUCAAAACUAGUGCACUACAUAGGGAUUAAGGCUCCAAUACUGGUCAAAACUAGUGCACUACAUAGGGAUUAAGGGUUCAAUACUGGUCAAAACUAGUGCACUACAUAGGGAUUAAGGCUCCAAUACUGGUCAAAACUACUGCACUACAUAGGGAUUAAGGGUUUAAUACUGGUCAAAACUAGUGCACUACAUAGGGAUUAGGGUGCCAUACUGGUCAGAACUACUGCACUACAUAGGGAUUAAGGCUCCAAUACUGGUCAAAACUAGUGAACUACAUAGGGAUUAAGGGUCCAAUACUGGUCAAAACUAGUGCACUACAUAGGGAUUAAUUAAGGGUGCCAUACUGGUCAAAACUAGUGCACUACAUAGGGAUUAAGGGUCCAAUACUGGUCAAAACUAGUGCACUACAUAGGGAUUAAGGGUUCAAUACUGGUCAAAACUACUGCACUACAUAGGGAUUAAGGCUCCAAUACUGGUCAAAACUAGUGAACUACAUAGGGAUUAAGGGUUCAAUACUGGUCAAAACUAGUGCACUACAUAGGGAUUAGGGUGCCAUACUGGUCAAAACUAGUGCACUACAUAGGGAUUAAGGCUCCAAUACUGGUCAGAACUAGUGCACUACAUAGGGAUUAAGGCUCCAAUACUGGUCAAAACUAGUGCACUACAUAGGGAUUAGGGUGCCAUACUGGUCAGAACUACUGCACUACAUAGGGAUUAAGGCUCCAAUACUGGUCAAAACUAGUGCACUACAUAGGGAUUAGGGUGCCAUACUGGUCAAAACUAGUGCACUACAUAGGGAUUAGGGUGCCAUACUGGUCAGAACUACUGCACUACAUAGGGAUUAAGGCUCCAAUACUGGUCAAAACUAGUGCACUACAUAGGGAUUAAGGGUUCAAUACUGGUCAAAACUAGUGCACUACAUAGGGAUUAAGGGUCCAAUACUGGUCAAAACUAGUGCACUACAUAGGGAUUAAUUAAGGGUGCCAUACUGGUCAAAACUAGUGCACUACAUAGGGAUUAAGGGUCCAAUACUGGUCAAAACUAGUGCACUACAUAGGGAUUAAGGGUCCAAUACUGGUCAAAACUAGUGCACUACAUAGGGAUUAAUUAAGGGUGCCAUUCUGGUCAAAACUAGUGCACUACAUAGGGAUUAGGGUCCAAUACUGGUCAAAACUAGUGCACUACAUAGGGAUUAGGGUCCAAUACUGGUCAAAACUAGUGCACUACAUAGGGAUUAGGGUGCCAUACUGGUCAGAACUACUGCACUACAUAGGGAUUAGGGUGCCAUACUGGUCAGAACUACUGCACUACAUAGGGAUUAAGGGUCCAAUACUGGUCAAAACUAGUGCACUACAUAGGGAUUAAGGGUUCAAUACUGGUCAAAACUAGUGCACUACAUAGGGAUUAAGGGUGCCAUACUGGUCAAAACUAGUGCACUACAUAGGGAUUAAGGCUCCAAUACUGGUCAAAACUACUGCACUACAUAGGGAUUAAUUAAGGGUGCCAUUCUGGUCAAAACUAGUGCACUACAUAGGGAUUAAGGGUCCAAUACUGGUCAAAACUAGUGCACUACAUAGGGAUUAAGGGUCCAAUACUGGUCAAAACUACUGCACUACAUAGGGAUUAAGGGUCCAAUACUGGUCAAAACUAGUGCACUACAUAGGGAUUAAGGCUCCAAUACUGGUCAAAACUAGUGAACUACAUAGGGAUUAAGGGUUCAAUACUGGUCAAAACUAGUCCACUACAUAGGGAUUAAGGGUCCAAUACUGGUCAAAACUAGUGCACUACAUAGGGAUUAAGGGUUCAAUACUGGUCAAAACUAGUGCACUACAUAGGGAUUAGGGUGCCAUACUGGUCAAAACUACUGCACUACAUAGGGAUUAGGGUGCCAUACUGGUCAGAACUACUGCACUACAUAGGGAUUAGGGUGCCAUACUGGUCAGAACUAGUGAACUACAUAGGGAUUAAGGGUCCAAUACUGGUCAAAACUAGUGCACUACAUAGGGAUUAAUUAAGGGUGCCAUACUGGUCAAAACUAGUGCACUACAUAGGGAUUAGGGGUUCAAUACUGGUCAAAACUAGUGCACUACAUAGGGAUUAAGGGUUCAAUACUGGUCAAAACUAGUGCACUACAUAG